This 450-nucleotide ribosomal RNA is filed under the name uncultured bacterium. RNAcentral describes it as "bacterial SSU rRNA". It matches the Rfam family "Bacterial small subunit ribosomal RNA", at positions 64 to 507 of the family's 1533-position model. The record is from RNAcentral.
GAGCGGUAACAGGUGUAGCAAUACAUGCUGACGAGCGGCGAACGGGUGAGUAAUGCUUCGGAAUCUGCCCAAUGGUGGGGAAUAACCAGCCGAAAGGUUGGCUAAUACCGCAUAAGUCCUACGGGAGAAAGCAGGGGAUCGCAAGACCUUGCGCCGAUGGAUGAGCCGAAGUCGGAUUAGCUAGUUGGUAGGGUAACGGCCUACCAAGGCGACGAUCCGUAGCUGGUCUGAGAGGACGACCAGCCACACUGGGACUGAGACACGGCCCAGACUCCUACGGGAGGCAGCAGUGGGGAAUAUUGGACAAUGGGGGAAACCCUGAUCCAGCGACGCCGCGUGUGUGAAGAAGGCCUGCGGGUUGUAAAGCACUUUUAGUGGGGAUGAAAAGCUCAGGGCUAACACCUCUGGGUCUUGACCUAACCCACAGAAAAAGCACCGGCUAACUCUGUG